This 389-nucleotide ribosomal RNA is filed under the name uncultured bacterium. RNAcentral's name for it is "bacterial SSU rRNA". It matches the Rfam family "Bacterial small subunit ribosomal RNA", at positions 29 to 416 of the family's 1533-position model. The record is from RNAcentral.
AUUGAACGCUGGCGGAAUGCUUUACACAUGCAAGUCGAGCGGCAGCGCGGGGGCAACCCUGGCGGCGAGCGGCGAACGGGUGAGUAAUACAUCGGAACGUGUCCUUAAGUGGGGGAUAGCUCGGCGAAAGCCGGAUUAAUACCGCAUAAGCUCUGAGGAGGAAAGCGGGGGCUCCGUAAGGACCUCGCGCUGUUGGAGCGGCCGAUGUCGGAUUAGCUAGUUGGUGGGGUAAAGGCCCACCAAGGCGACGAUCCGUAGCUGGUCUGAGAGGAUGAUCAGCCACACUGGAACUGAGACACGGUCCAGACUCCUACGGGAGGCAGCAGUGGGGAAUUUUGGACAAUGGGGGCAACCCCUGAUCCAGCCAUUCCGCGUGAGUGAAGAAGGCC